Long non-coding RNA from Amblyraja radiata (thorny skate), 228 nucleotides. RefSeq lists it as uncharacterized. The transcript has 2 exons. NCBI's taxonomy places the organism in Eukaryota, Metazoa, Chordata, Chondrichthyes, Rajiformes, Rajidae. The record is from RefSeq and is a predicted model, not a curated record.
AUCAGGUGAAUGAUGUGGAAAUGGUGUUUGCAAUUUUAUUGUGCACUUACUGUGCCAACCAGGUCUCUGGUGGACACCACGCAACAACUGUUACACAAAAUGUAUUUGUGUAUUCUGAUGCCAUUUUCGGAAACUUGCCAACAAUGUGCUUUCUUUUCUUAUAUUUGUUAUUGAUACUACGUUAGUCAUGAACCCAAUAAAGUGCUUGUCAAGAAAUUUGAAAUUUGA